GAUAAUAAGACAACUCUCCAUCAAAGACCAACUGAUGUUGAAGUUAUCAAAUAUAGGUAACAGUUACUUCUAAAGCAUAUAGGACUUUUUAGGAAGUUUCAUGUUUGUAAAUAGUUUACUUGUAAAAUAUAGGUAUAGGACAAGAUAAUUAUAUGAAAAGAUAAUCUUAACAUUAAAUUUAAUUUGACAUAAAACAACAAAGGUGAAAUUCUUAUUCUUAGUAAAUAUUUAAUCAGUCUACUUAAGUAUAAAAGAUAUUAUGUAUAAUGUCAUUACAUACAACAGAUCAAUAUAAAAAAAAAAUAUAUGUACAUCAUUUACAUGGGAAGAAGAUACAUUGCACUUAUUCAGAAAUCACUCGGAUGGUAUGUGAGAGUGUCUGUCUACACUGUGUAGCAUCACAGAUGGAUAUAGGAACCCUCGAAAUCGUCAGAAUCGGCCCCGAGUGGGUACUAGUUAAGAGAAGCAUGUGACGAGUUUAAAACUGGUUGAACUAUUUAUUUGAUUUUUUGGUAGAAGAAAGUUAUAUCAUAUUUAAGCUAGAACAACCCUGCAUUUAAAAAAUAAACUGUUGUUUUCAGAUACAUUCGUGUAAAUUAAUGGCAAAUAAUUUUUUACAGUACAGUGAAAAGAAUAUGAACUUUUUGCUAUUAUUGUUUCUUUGCUUCAGGGGGUACUUAUAUCUGGAAGUGAUGCUAUACAGUGCUAUCUUUUCAUAAAAUAUAGCUGAAUAUACUGUGAAUUAAUUUUUAAUCGAUGGAUACCAAUUUUCUUGGAUUAGUGGGUUAGGUUAACCACCAAAUCAAAUGUUCAAAGAAUGACAAAUUUCCAUAUGGCUUGUAUGCAAACUUCGGCAAAACCAUGAGUGAAAAUACCAACAAACAUGCAAGUAUUCUUUUAUCCACGAAAAUUGGUAGCCAUGAAAAUAAGUGAAUCUACUGUACAUGGUGAUCAUGGUGAUAUCGAUGAUGAAAGUUUGCCAUUUAUUUAAGGAGCAAUCAUUCUUAAUUCAAUGUUUAUCAAAGUUUACCUUUGAACUUGUUAAGUUUGAACUAUUAAAAAAUGACUUUCAGGCAUAUAAAAAAAGAAACAUGAAAAAAAGCAGAUCUAA
This 1111-nucleotide long non-coding RNA is filed under the name Mytilus galloprovincialis (Mediterranean mussel). The record is from RNAcentral. Lineage: Eukaryota; Metazoa; Mollusca; Bivalvia; Mytilida; Mytilidae.